UGGGGAAUCUUCCGCAAUGGACGAAAGUCUGACGGAGCAACGCCGCGUGAGUGAAGACGGCCUUCGGGUUGUAAAGCUCUGUGAUCCGGGACGAAAGAGCCUGAGGUGAAUAGCCUAAGGAAGUGACGGUACCGGAAAAGCAAGCCACGGCUAACUACGUGCCAGCAGCCGCGGUAAAACGUAGGUGGCAAGCGUUGUCCGGAAUUAUUGGGCGUAAAGCGCGCGCAGGCGGCUUCCUAAGUCCAUCUUAAAAGUGCGGGGCUUAACCCCGUGAUGGGAUGGAAACUGGGAAGCUGGAGUAUCGGAGAGGAAAGUGGAAUUCCUAGUGUAGCGGUGAAAUGCGUAGAGAUUAGGAAGAACACCGGUGGCGAAGGCGACUUUCUGGACGAAAACUGACGCUGAGGCGCGAAAGCGUGGGGAGCAAACAGG
RNAcentral lists this ribosomal RNA (429 nucleotides) under Fusobacteriota bacterium. RNAcentral describes it as "Fusobacteria bacterium partial 16S ribosomal RNA". It matches the Rfam family "Bacterial small subunit ribosomal RNA", at positions 355 to 776 of the family's 1533-position model. Lineage: Bacteria; Fusobacteriati; Fusobacteriota. The record is from RNAcentral.